Molecule: long non-coding RNA, 530 nt
Filed under: Anas platyrhynchos platyrhynchos (common mallard)
Lineage: Eukaryota; Metazoa; Chordata; Aves; Anseriformes; Anatidae
Description: lncRNA (ENSAPLG00000024648.1)
Source: RNAcentral
CGAUACAGCCAUUUGGGCUGGAAAGGGCACACAGGAAUGACACCUUUCUCUAGCAGGAACAAGAAGUUACAGAACAGAUAGAGGAACAGGCUUCAAAGGGAACUUUAUCAAACCAACUGAGCAGAAAUACAGAAGAUCAAAGAAAAUACAACAAUACUGUAUUAUCUGUACAUGACAUGGAACAAUACAGAGUAAGAAUACUUUGUCAAUGCUUUGCCACACUGUAGAAUGGCAGAAUAGCCUUGAUGAUUUCUAUUUAAAGACAGUCCACAGAUGAUGAAAGCUAAAGGAUGUUCCCACGCUUAGGCAAUUGAGAAAAUACAUGAGGCAAGAUAGAGAGGAGGGAGAGGCAGAAUCAAAGGAAGUCUUUAAAGUGCUUUUCCAUCUCUGUAAUUAACCAGAGUGCCAAGCGUUCAGCAAGAAAGGGUGCAUCUGACCUGUGAUCACCUCUGUGCCUCUCAGCAGCACAUGUAAGUAAAGAUUUCAGCGUCAGAAGCUGCCACUGUAAGGGAAUCCAAAUGUCACACAUC